UAACACAGUGCACGUACAAAUGCACCGGACGCCCCCCCCAACCCGAGAAAGAGAGGCCAAAUUUAGGAUCGAGUCUCUUCUCUUCCUUGGCCAAAAUUCACAUGUCGAUCAAUCCCACCAUGUAGCUUCGCUUGCCCUCAUGUCCUCCAUCACAGGUACAUGUCCCUCCUCUCCUUUCUUUUAUCUAUCCUUGUUCUUUUCUCUCCUAUAUCUCCUACAUCUAUCGUCUAAAAUUUAUUUUCGUUUUUUAGGGUAAUUUUUCUUCUUCUGUUAUCUUUCAAUUCGGUAAUAAAUCUAAUCUCAGUUUAUUUAUUUGUAAUAUCUGCACCUUGUUCAUUCAUUUGUGCUAAAUCAAAUCAGAUUUUGGUUAUAUGUGGUGAUUUUGGUUGUCAAUCAAUUUUGAUUUUGGAUAUAUGUGCACCACAUGUUUGAUGUUUUGUCCAUCUGUUGCAAAAUUUUGAAAUCCUUAUGUUUACAGUCCAAUAUGAUUGUAUACAUAUGUAAAAAGUUUUAUACCUUUAGGUUUGCGUAUUUGGUGUCACAACAAAUAAGUUCCCUAGUUCUCACACAGGUGAAUUUGACAGAUGACAACUACACUAAUAAUAAAACAUAUAUAAUAAACACAGUACAUUAAAUGAUUGUAUAAUGAUUGACUUAGAACAUGAACAAUUUUUUUAUACUCUAUUAGUCUCAAAAUGAGUGUCCACAUUUAAAAGUGAGCUUUUAAGAAGAGCUUGAAUAUAGCAUUAUCAAUGGCCAAGAUCACAACAUACAGGAUGUAAUCAAGGUUUCAAGCAAUGUUAAAAAAUUUAGCCUAGAAAAUGUAUCAUGAUAAGAUUAUAAAGCAAAUUAAGCAAUAUCUCUGACACCUUAUAUACCUUUAGGUUUGCGUAUUAGAUGUCACAACCCCACUGUUCAAAUAAGUUGCCUAGUUCUCACACAGGUGAAUUUGACAGAUGACAACUACACUAGCUGAAUAGAGAAUUCAUGUUCUUUACCUAAUUAACUUUUUGACCUUUUUCCUAAAUAACCUCAUCAUUCUAGUUUUCCCAUUUUUUACAAAUUAAUUGUAAAGUUUUUAUUUUUGUGAUUAAUGCAGAUUAACUAUGAAGUUUACACAUGAAUAUUUGCACUUACUCACCAUAUACUGAUUAGAUACAUAUUUCAGUCUUUUGAAGCUUUCGAGUGUCCACAUAGGUAUAACAUGAAUAUGGAUUUCCUGUUCAUUUAAUGUGAACCACUGCAUAUCUUCUUUAGGGAGACCUAAGCAAUCCAAAAGACGCAGCUUUGCAGCAUUGACAUAGAUUUUCUUGCGCAAAACCCGAGCAACCUCUAUAAAUAGCCUUUCUUUUCCUAUUUUCAAAAAGAAACAAAUGGAAGGAAAAGAAUAAAUGUUUCUGUAGAGAUGAGAAUGUUGUAUAAUAGAAAUUAUAGUACCAGAUAUACUAUAAAUUUAUUUUCUUAUGUUUUUCGUUUGGACUUCAUGUCCAUCGAUGCUUGAAGAAUCAGGUCAUCUUCUUUAGCCUUUGGAUCUGGUUACAUUAAAGGUCUUGGGUAUGGUCCAAAACCUCAAAGCAUGCGCAUUACAUUAUCUGAUUUAGCUACCCAACAACUCCAAAAGGAACUUCAAGAGACGCAACAAAAGCUACAAAUGUCUGACUCUCAAGUAAAUGAUCUUAAGACACAAGUGGCUGAAAAUAUCAACAAACUUAUGGAAAUUAUGGCUGCUAAUGGGAUGAACAUCUAGGCUGAAAAGAAUCAUGUAAGUAAUAAAUACUUUUAAACUUCAAUGAAGCUUUCAAAUGUUGUUUUCCAUUGUUUAUGAGACGAACAUGAUUUUAUAUCUUAUUCUCUAUAUGGGACAAACAUGAUCUUUAUUACUUUGAGUAAUAAAUAUGCUUAUAAAGGUUUGUUAAUGUUCAAUGAAUCUUGAGACUGGUUGUGUUUAUGGUUUAUGUUCAUAUGAACUCAAUGCAUGAGCAGAAGUUGUCUAGAUAAUAUGCUUUCAAGUUUUCUCUAUAACAUGCACUUAAGCAAUGUAUUUUUUUUUGAACUUUUUAUAUGAACAUGAGUUUGAUGAAUUUGAUUUUAUCGGUUCAUUUAUUUUAUUUUAUUGUUCAAAGUUAACUGUUUGAUGAAUUUGAGCUUAAGUUCAUUAGUUGCUUGAUUACAUUUGACUAAUAAUUUUAUUGUACCAUAUUUAUAAGGCUAAAAAGAUAGGAUAACUUUUUUAGUAAUGUUAUAGUUAUAGUUCUAGAAAAUUCACAAAUUAUUAUUUAAAUAUUUCUUUCUUUAUAUACUUUUUUGUUUAAAUUUUAUAAUCAUUUUACUAAUUUAUGUCUAUAUAUUUUGAUGAAUUUGCAGAUAGAGUUUUUUCUGGAAGGUCAAUAACCACAAGGUUGGAGGUUUUAAUUAGGUAUUUUCUUAGGAUAUAAUUUGGUUUUGUGGUACUUAGAUUAUUUAAGCAACUGUUCAUUUUAAUUGCCUAGUUGGGUAUUUUGUUAAAUUAGUGAAUCUACUAUAUUUUUUUUAUAAGAUAAUUACUUUUUAUUUUAAAUGUUUAUUGUCUUUUCUCUCUUAUAUUAUAUGCAGGUGUAAAGUUGAUUUAAAAAGGUCACUAAAUGUAUUAUAUUUUUAUUGAAAAGUGUUAAUAUAACAAUAUAUUUAGAAUGUCAAACAACUUAAUAUGAC
This 2691-nucleotide long non-coding RNA is filed under the name Panax ginseng (ginseng). RNAcentral's name for it is "long non-coding RNA (PGIN_LNC003064)". Lineage: Eukaryota; Viridiplantae; Streptophyta; Magnoliopsida; Apiales; Araliaceae. The record is from RNAcentral.